RNAcentral lists this ribosomal RNA (472 nucleotides) under uncultured bacterium. RNAcentral describes it as "bacterial SSU rRNA". It matches the Rfam family "Bacterial small subunit ribosomal RNA", at positions 355 to 825 of the family's 1533-position model. The record is from RNAcentral.
UGGGGAAUCUUGGACAAUGGGCGCAAGCCUGAUCCAGCCAUACCGCGUGAGUGAAGAAGGCCUUCGGGUUGUAAAGCUCUUUCAGACGGAAAGAAACGGUUACGGCUAAUACCCGUGACUAAUGACGGUACCGUAAGAAGAAGCACCGGCUAACUACGUGCCAGCAGCCGCGGUAAUACGUAGGGUGCGAGCGUUAAUCGGAAUUACUGGGCGUAAAGCGUGCGCAGGCGGUUUGGUAAGACAGAUGUGAAAUCCCCGGGCUUAACCUGGGGAGGUCAUAUCAGACUGCACGUCUAGAAUGUGGUAGAGGAAGGUGGAAUUCCUGGUGUAGCGGUGAAAUGCGUAGAUAUCAGGAAGAACAUCAAUGGCGAAGGCAGCCUUCUGGGCCAUUAUUGACGCUGAGGCUCGAAAGCGUGGGGAGCGAACAGGAUUAGAUACCCGUGUAGUCCCUGAGCGGGCUGGCAAGGCGCAU